This 250-nucleotide ribosomal RNA is filed under the name uncultured prokaryote. RNAcentral describes it as "partial 16S ribosomal RNA". It matches the Rfam family "Bacterial small subunit ribosomal RNA", at positions 524 to 773 of the family's 1533-position model. The record is from RNAcentral.
UACGUAGGGAGCGAGCGUUGUCCGGAAUUACUGGGCGUAAAGGGCGCGUAGGCGGAGUCUUAAGCAGAGUGUGAAAACUAUGGGCUCAACCCAUAGCCUGCAUUCUGAACUGGGACCCUUGAGGGCAGGAGAGGAAAGUGGAAUUCCUAGUGUAGCGGUGAAAUGCGUAGAUAUUAGGAGGAACACCAGUGGCGAAGGCGACUUUCUGGACUGUACCUGACGCUGAGGCGCGAAAGCGUGGGGAGCGAAC